GUUAAGUUUAAUUUUAAUUUAAUAUUAUAAAAUAAUAUAAGAAGUAUAAAAUAAGUAGGAACUUUAAUAUUAGUAAAAUACUACUAUUCGUAUUAUUUUUUUACUUAUUUAAUAAAAUAAAGCUAGAUUUAUAUCUAACUUCUAAUUUUAAAAUCCUUUAUAAGUCGACUUAAGUUAAAAAUAUUAUUAAUUAGGGAAUUUAACUAAAGUAGUAUAUCUAUUAAACUAUAAUAUAAAUAUCUUAAAAGAAGCUUAUAGAGAAUAGAAAUCUCUAAUAGAAUAAAAAAAUAAAAGUCUUUUUAAUUUUGAUUUUUAGUAUAAAUAUAAACUUUAAAAUAUAACCUAUCGAUCUUUUAGUCUUUUAAAAUUUAAAACUAGAAGUAUUAGAAAAAUUACUAU
RNAcentral lists this non-coding RNA (399 nucleotides) under Colletotrichum orbiculare MAFF 240422. RNAcentral's name for it is "Eukaryotic large subunit ribosomal RNA". It matches the Rfam family "Eukaryotic large subunit ribosomal RNA", at positions 2415 to 2821 of the family's 3401-position model. The record is from Rfam by way of RNAcentral. Lineage: Eukaryota; Fungi; Ascomycota; Sordariomycetes; Glomerellales; Glomerellaceae.